UACAUUUAGUCAUGCAAAGGACAUUAAUAUAUCUUUGAGAUACCUGAAUCUCUGCAUGUUGUUCCUGGUGGUAAAGUAAAACAAAUUGUAUCCUGUGGUUUCUGCAGGGAAAGGUGACCGAAAGAUGACAUUUUUUUCCCAAGCUGAUUUU
Molecule: long non-coding RNA, 151 nt
Organism: Thalassophryne amazonica
Lineage: Eukaryota; Metazoa; Chordata; Actinopteri; Batrachoidiformes; Batrachoididae
Exons: 3
Source: RefSeq, a predicted model, not a curated record